CCUACGGGAGGCAGCAGUGGGGAAUAUUGCACAAUGGGGGAAACCCUGAUGCAGCGAAGCCGCGUGAGUGAAGAAGGAUCUCGGGAUGUAAAGCUCUAUCAGCAGGGAAGAAACUUACGGUCCCUGAUUACGAAUCCCCGGCUAACUACGUGCCAGCAGCCGCGGUAAUACGUAGGGGGCCAGCGUUAUCCGGAUUUUCUGGGUGUAAAGGGAGCGUAGACGGCAGCACAAGUCUGGAGUGAAAUGCCGGGGCUUAACCCCGGAACUGCUGUGGAAACUGUGCCGCUAGAGUGCAGGAGAGGUAAGCGGAAUUCCUAGUGUAGCGGUGAAAUGCGUAGAUAUUAGGAGGAACACCAGUGGCGAAGGCGGCGUACUGGACUGUAACUGACGUUGAGGCUCGAAAGCGUGGGGAGCAAACAGGAUUAGAUACCCUAGUAGUC
Molecule: ribosomal RNA, 440 nt
Filed under: uncultured bacterium
Lineage: Bacteria
Description: partial 16S ribosomal RNA
Rfam family: Bacterial small subunit ribosomal RNA
Source: RNAcentral